CCUAGAUAAAAUCUAAGGUGUAACCUGCCCAGUGAUCUUUAAAUUAAACUAUAAUAUAGUUAAAAUAAGAUUAAAAGGACGCGGUAACCUUGACCGUGAUAAUGUAGCAUAAUCACUCGCCAUUUAAUUGGUGGAUAGUAUGAAUGGUUGAACGAAUAUCCCACUGUCUUAAAGAAAAUUAAAGGAAAUUGAAAUAAUAGUUAAGAUGCUAUUUUAAACUGUAAGACGAAAAGACCCUAUAGAGCUUAACUAUAAUCUUUAUUAAAAUAAUUGAAUAGGAUUUCAUAUAAAAUAGAGACUGGUAGUUUAGUUGGGGCGACUAUCUUCUAAAUAAAACGAAGACAAGCAAUGUUAAUAAAUAACUUAUUGUAUAAUAAAUAAAUUUAACAAUUAUAAAAAUAGGCUAUAAUGACCCGUUAAUACUUAGUAAAAAGAUUAACGAUCAAUUGAUAAAAGCUACCUUAGGGAUAACAGGAUAAUUUCAUUUUAGAGCUCUUAUCGAAAAUGAAGUUUGUCA
RNAcentral lists this ribosomal RNA (517 nucleotides) under Clytia islandica. RNAcentral describes it as "partial 16S ribosomal RNA". It matches the Rfam family "Bacterial large subunit ribosomal RNA", at positions 1833 to 2523 of the family's 2925-position model. The record is from RNAcentral. Lineage: Eukaryota; Metazoa; Cnidaria; Hydrozoa; Leptothecata; Clytiidae.